Molecule: long non-coding RNA, 697 nt
Organism: Homo sapiens (human)
Lineage: Eukaryota; Metazoa; Chordata; Mammalia; Primates; Hominidae
Product: long intergenic non-protein coding RNA 1478
Source: Ensembl
GAAAGAUAAAAGUACUUCCUGAAUAUGUGGAUGGUGAGCCACGUGAAUGGAAGACAUGGAGAUAUGGACUGUUAACACCUUGUCAAACAUUUAUUGUCCCUUCCACCUCUAAACUUCUGUGAUAAUAGGUGAACAGGACCCACGUGGUGCAGAAUACUGCGAUACACACUGCGGAAUAAUUCAGUGCAGAACAACACGUGGAUUGCUCAGUACAACUUGUUCAUCACAUCCUCCUGUUCACUGAAGAAUUAUGGAAAUAUUCUCUGAGCUGCUUUCCUCCCUGCCCAACGAGUCAUCUCUGUGUGAAAGGCCAAGCUUAUAAAUCCUGUGGAUUCCUUUGCAGAAACUUGAAAUGGGAAGCUGAGUUCUAUGCCUGGGAUAAUACAAUGCAAGACCAGAUUAUGUAGGAAAGCUGAGUUUGAGGACACAGGAAAUCCUGAAAAGCCUAAAGAUCUGAGAGUUAGCAAAAAUCCAUGGGCCAACUUCAAACUUGGAGGGCUGCAGAAUUAGUGACAUCCGAGCUGAGAAUAACAAAAGAUCAGUGGCAAUAAAUGCAAGAGAAAAAACUGCAUCAGGAGGGGUACCAGGGAAAAAUGGUUUAACAACAUCAGAAUCACGUCAUGGUCAUCAUGUCUGGAGGCAUUGUCAGUUAUGAUCUUCAGUGCUUCUCUGUCAUUUAUUAAAUGCUUCCAAACUG